AUGUCGUUCAGCUCUUCCCUUCCACGUUAUCACCAUGCAUAUGGCAACUCCUCCAAGAACAUCACUCCAGACCUUGAAAAGGGAGAGUCCCAAACUAGAGGUCGAUGUCCACCCUUCUUUUCUCGCCCUUUUUCUCUCUUUGCUGGGCAUAACAGUGCCUUUUCAUGCCUCGAAACUCCUAGUUAGGGACCUCUGAUCAAAAAUCUUUCUUCAACAAAGUUGUUUGCCCAUGUCUCUUCUAUCUACCCUCCAAAUUUCAGCUCCAUCGGAGUCGAUUUGAAACCUUUACACCCCUCAAAGCAGAAGCUAUUCGGAAGCAAGCCUGUUCCGGAUUUCUGCUUGAAUUUCCUCUCUUGCUCUACCCGAAUCCCUCACAUCUUACUUGAGACUGAUACAAACACUUGGUAAGAUUCUGGAACCAUCAAGUUCCCCUUUCUUUCUUCAAUUUUUAGGCUCAGUACGUUCAAAACAACUACUCCACAUAUUGAGAAGUUUCUGUUGCACUCUGCAUGUUUGAGAUUGAGUUAAUUUCUUGACCUGCAACUGGGCUCGAUCCAAUCAGCUCCCUCAGCUCUCUUUCCUGUUGAAAUCCUUAAGAGAAACUCACCUUUUUGAUUAGUCUUUGGCUCGAUACUGUGGUGGAAUCUUGUGAAGUUGGUGGUUGCUACAAGGUUGCAUUGAGGCCAAGUGUUGCAAGAGAAAGCUCGAGUUCCAGGCUAUUGUUGUCAAAGCUUGGGUACGGAGGAUAAUCUUUGGAGGCCAAAAUUUGUUUUGUUUCAAGUUUAUUUUAUUUGGCUUGUUCGAUCUCGUAAAAAAUUUUGUAACGUUAUGUAUGGUUCACUACACCAAAAACUGCAUCACACGACUGUGAAAAAACGUCGUCUGAUUUGAAGACUCACCGUCGUCUAUCUCGAUGUUGUCUGAUGAAAAAUUAGACGACGGUGAAUUCACCGUUGUAUGAUACAAAGUCAGUCGACGUAUAUUUCUUAACACCGUUGUCCAAGAACUCGACAGAUGCCGGACA
Long non-coding RNA from Rosa chinensis, 1024 nucleotides. RefSeq lists it as uncharacterized. Lineage: Eukaryota; Viridiplantae; Streptophyta; Magnoliopsida; Rosales; Rosaceae. The record is from RefSeq and is a predicted model, not a curated record. The transcript is spliced from 3 exons.